UACGGAGGGUGCAAGCGUUGUCCGGAAUCAUUGGGCGUAAAGAGUUCGUAGGCGGUAUGUUAAGUUUGGUGUUAAAGCCCGAGGCUUAACCUCGGUUCGGCAUCGGAUACUGGCAUACUAGAAUGCGGUAGAGGUAAAGGGAAUUCCUGGUGUAGCGGUGAAAUGCGUAGAUAUCAGGAGGAACAUCGGUGGCGUAAGCGCUUUACUGGGCCGUUAUUGACGCUGAGGAACGAAAGCCGGGGGAG
This 245-nucleotide ribosomal RNA is filed under the name uncultured Pseudomonadota bacterium. RNAcentral describes it as "uncultured proteobacterium partial 16S ribosomal RNA". It matches the Rfam family "Bacterial small subunit ribosomal RNA", at positions 524 to 768 of the family's 1533-position model. Lineage: Bacteria; Pseudomonadati; Pseudomonadota. The record is from RNAcentral.